RNAcentral lists this ribosomal RNA (232 nucleotides) under uncultured bacterium. RNAcentral's name for it is "partial 16S ribosomal RNA". It matches the Rfam family "Bacterial small subunit ribosomal RNA", at positions 103 to 334 of the family's 1533-position model. The record is from RNAcentral.
CGGGUAGAGGAACAUGUACGCAACCUUCCUUUAACUGGAGAAUAGCCCCUCGAAAGAGGGAUUAAUACUCCGUAACAUAAUGAAGUGGCAUCACUUUAUUAUUAUAGCUCCGGCGGUUAAAGAUGGGCGUGCAACUGAUUAGAUAGUUGGCGGGGUAACGGCCCACCAAGUCUGCGAUCAGUAACUGGUGUGAGAGCACGACCAGUCACACGGGCACUGAGACACGGGCCCG